Molecule: unclassified non-coding RNA, 401 nt
Filed under: fungal sp.
Lineage: Eukaryota; Fungi
Description: partial internal transcribed spacer region
Source: RNAcentral
UCUUUGCCGGUUAUAAUAUCCGUUGUCACCCAGUCUUCACCAUUCUUUUCGUCUUCGAUGAUAUCGAGUUUGAGAAAGCGCAACGAGACGGCCUGGCUGUCUUUUUCUUCGGUUUCCCUUGGCGCGAACAACUUACUGGUGUAUUCUUUACUGGCGGCGCAACUGGCUGCCAAAGCAACGAUCAUCAUUAAGAUGACCGCUUGUACUAUUCUUGUUGUUUGCAUGGCCACACGUUUUAUUUUUAGACAACGUAACUAUGACCCAAUUCAUUUGCCAUAAAAUCUUAAAAUCACAUUUAAUGAAAUACUUUCUCAUACUAUUAACAGUGCUUUUCAGUGGAAACGUCGCCUGGAGCCAGACAGCCGGAGACUCGGUGAAGCAAGUGAUCAAUAACAUGUUUA